This is a long non-coding RNA of Perognathus longimembris pacificus (Pacific pocket mouse), 142 nucleotides long. RefSeq lists it as uncharacterized. The transcript has 3 exons. NCBI's taxonomy places the organism in Eukaryota, Metazoa, Chordata, Mammalia, Rodentia, Heteromyidae. The record is from RefSeq and is a predicted model, not a curated record.
UUUUUCUGUCUGUCUACAUUUUGGGUAGGAGGUUGCUUAAGUUUGGGGGGAGCAUUUUUCUCAUGAAGGCAUACAUCCUGCCAGAUAAAUGUUAAUUCUUGGGGGUGAGCAAUACAUCUCUCAGGAAGAAAUGCAUCCUGUU